This is an RNA transcript of Lycium barbarum (goji berry), 2246 nucleotides long. It is a transcript of the gene named TMV resistance protein N-like, with no coding region annotated. Lineage: Eukaryota; Viridiplantae; Streptophyta; Magnoliopsida; Solanales; Solanaceae. The transcript has 3 exons. The record is from RefSeq and is a predicted model, not a curated record.
GUGACCAUUGGAUUCCUACAAUUAGAAUCAAACACAAAAUCUCCAUCUCCAGAUCUGUUUUUCCCCCAGCUCAGUUGAAGGAAUGCAUAAGGUGCAAAGAUGGAGGACUGCCCUUACUCAAUUGGCCAAUCUGAAAGGCUGUGAUAUCCUCAAUAGGGUUGAAUCAGAGAGCAUUAAGCUGAUUGUCAGCCAAAUUUCUUCAUUAUGCAAGCCACUUUUAUCAUCACCCCAAGAUGAAUCAGAGAGCAUUAAGCUGAUUGUCUGCCAAAUUUCUUCAUUAUGGAAGCCACUUUUAUCAUCACCCCAAGAUGUUAUGGGUCUAGAUACUCAUUUGGAGCAAGUGAAAUCUCUGCUAUGGAUGGAAAUUAAUGACAUACGAAUUGUUGGUACCUUGGGUAUUGGAGGAGUAGGAAAGACGACAGUUCUAAGAGCCGUUUUGAUGAGCUCUCUAAUCAAUUUGAAUCUUCUUGUUUCCUUGCGGAUGUUAAUGGUAAGGGUAGCAGAAUUAUCAUAACUACAUCAUAGCAAGUAAACUUCAUUUUAAGAAGGUUCUAAUUGUGCUUGAUGACAUAGAUCAAAGAAGGUUCUAACUGUGCUCAAUGACAUAGAUCAUAUAAACCAAUUCGAUUACUUUGUAGGAGAUCUUGGUUGGUUUGGUAAUGACAGUAAGAUUAUCAUAACAUCAUAGCAAAUAGACUUCGUUUUAAGAAAUUUGUAAUUGUGCUUGAUGACAUAGAUCAUAUAGACCAUUUGGAAUACUUUGAAGGAGAUCCUAGUUGGUUUGGUAACAACAGUAGAAUUUAUAACAACUAAAGACAAGCAAUUGGUAAGUGACUACGCUAGCUAACCAUGAAGUUGUUCUCUUGUUCAAUCAACACGCUUUCAAGAAAAAGUUCCAGAUAAGUGUUUUGAAGUAGCAAAAAUCAUGCUAGAGGCGGUGCUUUCUUUAGCCCGGAAAGUGUGGGGGUGCUUUCUUGUAGGAAAGACAUAACUGCAUGGAGAAGUGCUAUAGAGCGAUGGCGAAUAACUUUGGAUAAGAAAUUGUUAGACAACUCAAAAUAAGCUUUGAUGGAUUGGAGCAAGAGAUAUUUCUAGAUAUAGUAUGUUUUUCUCGAGGGUAUGAUGAAUAUUACAUCAUAAAUAUCCUUGAGAGUUGUGGAUUUGAACUUACUAUCAGAUUGAGUGUCCUAAUUGAAAAAUCUCUUGUGUUCGUCUCUGAAGAAUAUACAAUUGAAAUGCAUGAUUUGAUAAAAUGAUAUGGGUAAAUAUCUUGUUACUGUGAAAAAUGAUCCUGGAACAUAGCAUACGACGGCGCGUUGAAGAUUUGGACUUAGCAAAUUGCAAGAUGCUUAAAGAGCUUCCACCAAAAAUAGCUACCGUGACUGUAAAUUUUAAGGUGGCUCUGAAAAGUAUACAGAAUUUGGUGGCCAGUGUAUCUUCUCCCUGCAACAUGCCAUCUCCACUUCUAAUUCCUUGUCUGUCUCAGAGAGUGUUCACCAUGGUGCAUCCUGGUAUAGAGAUCCCAAUUUGGUUCAACCAUAGGGGACUCUGUGGAAAUGAGCUAGUGGUCAGGUUGGGUAAAAAUUGGUACGUAAAUGGUAACUUCUUCGGAUUUUCUCUAUGUUGCUGUCGAAGCUCAUAUGAAACUCAUAUGAAACCACGGUAGAAUUGAUACACUUAUCUAAUGAUGAUGAGUCGGAGAAGCUGAGCAAGAAACUUGAAUUAUACUCUCUUCCAGAGUGUAAUUCAGAAUUUGUAGUACAGUGAAUCUUCAUACGUCUUGCUAGUUUAUGGGGAUGGACAUAAGGCAAAUGGAAAAACACCAAAUGACUAUGAGCAUCUUAUGUUCUCUACCUUUGAAGUAAUGAAUGAGUUCGGAUAUCCUUUGUUGUAUAAGGAAUCAAUUGGGCCAGCUGGGACGGCUUGGUAAGCAAUGUGAGGCAGAAAUGGUCGAAAACAAUCCGUGCGUGCAUUUUGUUGUCAAUAUGGAAUGAAAGGAAUGCAAGAUGGUUUGAGGAUAGUGGUAGCCGUGUUCAGAAAAUUAAGAUGAGUUGUCUUCUUAUGUUUUUUUUGUGUAAAGAAGACUUAGUUGAAGAUGCAGAAUCUACACUUUGCAUCAUAGGAGUCGUGUAGAAGAAUAAGAAUUUUCUUUUUGUUGGUCUAUGAACUGUAAAUAUGGAUUCCUGCAGUCUUUCUGAUGAAGUUUUUCAAUAAUAUUGUCACUGUUACCAUUCUCGAAAAAGAAA